AAUAACAUACAAAAACACACCUACCCCCAAUCAAUCAAACAACCCUAAAUAGCAAAAACCACUCACAAGACAAAGCCCAUCCAAAUACCAAACAAACCAAAAUCCCUUCUAAAAGUAUCUCUCUCUGAUCAAAAGAAACAACAACCAAACAUUGAAACACCAUCUAGACUCAUACAACAGCAACCCCAUUUUUUCAAACAUUCUAAAAAACUAGACCCAACUCACCACCAAGCCUUAAACAAACAUGGCCUACUCAUACCAGCAGUUGCUAGUGUUUCUGCCAUUUCAUUACUGUUUAGAUUAGCUGUUGAAAAUGAUAACUUUCCAACAAAAGCAAUCCUCCUAUCUAAGUCUGCAAAUGAAGCUUGUUUAAACCAUGGUCUCCUUUUUUUUUAUCCAAAAUCCAGUUAUAAACCACCCUUGAGCCCAUUUCAACAAUUAAUGAACCUCCCUUCUAAUCAAUCUCAAUAAAAAUGUCCAACAUUGUAAUGACUGCUCCUAAUUCAGUUGUAUAAGCAUCACAAGCGUCACAAGGGCCUGAGAAUAAAGAUCUAACACUACCUCCCUCGUCACGCCUCCAUAGCCCGAAGCACCUUCAGAAGCAGUUCCACUAACGUUAAAUAUCAGCCACGCAUGUGGAGGAUAAAACCAACCUCUUGAGCCAGAUUUAGAAAGACUACACUUAUACGGAAAAAACCACCAUAAUCUCUCUUGAAUCAUACACUCGUCGAAAGCAGCUCUUACCCAUAAUAAUGCCCUCAUCUUGGAAUGAAAUAUUAGCGUAGCCAUCGACAACACUUUAUUUUCAAACACUAACUCAUUCCUCACAAGCCAAAUAGACCAACAAGACACCGCAAUUGCAGUCAGCCGCAGACUCUUGGAAGAACCAAAAAAUGUAGCACCCCAAACCCGACCCAGACGUUAUGGCUGGAUCCGACAUGCCACAUCAAAAAUGUUAAAAUUUUUUUUUCCAUUCUAAGUCCAGAAAAUCGUACUUGAUGUUCAAAAGAUUAAUUCAUUAAGGGUUAAAGUGAAUGGAAGCUGUGCACCAGGUAGGAAAC
RNAcentral lists this long non-coding RNA (1061 nucleotides) under Gossypium barbadense (sea-island cotton). Its description in RNAcentral is "long non-coding RNA (GBAR_LNC004121)". Lineage: Eukaryota; Viridiplantae; Streptophyta; Magnoliopsida; Malvales; Malvaceae. The record is from RNAcentral.